This 343-nucleotide unclassified non-coding RNA is filed under the name soil metagenome. RNAcentral's name for it is "partial contains 5.8S ribosomal RNA, internal transcribed spacer 2, and large subunit ribosomal RNA". The stretch from base 1 to 120 matches the Rfam family "5.8S ribosomal RNA", at positions 35 to 154 of the family's 154-position model. The record is from RNAcentral.
GAUGAAGAACGCAGCGAAAUGCGAUAAGUAAUGUGAAUUGCAGAAUUCAGUGAAUCAUCGAAUCUUUGAACGCACAUUGCGCCCGCUAGUAUUCUGGCGGGCAUGCCUGUCCGAGCGUCAUUUCAACCCUCAAGCCCCCGGGCUUGGUGUUGGGGAUCGGCGAGCCUCCGCGCCCGCCGUCCCCUAAAUCUAGUGGCGGUCUCGCUGUAGCUUCCUCUGCGUAGUAGCACACCUCGCACUGGGAAACAGCGCGGCCACGCCGUUAAACCCCCAACUUCUGAACGUUUGACCUCGGAUCAGGUAGGAAUACCCGCUGAACUUAAGCAUAUCAAUAAGUGGAGGA